Molecule: ribosomal RNA, 700 nt
Filed under: uncultured bacterium
Lineage: Bacteria
Description: bacterial SSU rRNA
Rfam family: Bacterial small subunit ribosomal RNA
Source: RNAcentral
AGUGGCGGACGGGUGAGUAACGCGUAAGAAUCUAACUUCAGGACGGGGACAACAGUUGGAAACGACUGCUAAUACCCGAUGUGCCGCAAGGUGAAACCUAAUUGGCCUGGAGAAGAGCUUGCGUCUGAUUAGCUAGUUGGUGGGGUAAAGGCCUACCAAGGCGACGAUCAGUAGCUGGUCUGAGAGGAUGAGCAGCCACACUGGGACUGAGACACGGCCCAGACCCCUACGGGAGGCAGCAGUGGGGAAUUUUCCGCAAUGGGCGAAAGCCUGACGGAGCAACGCCGCGUGAGGGAGGAAGGUCUUUGGAUUGUAAACCUCUUUUCUCAAGGAAGAAGUUCUGACGGUACUUGAGGAAUCAGCCUCGGCUAACUCCGUGCCAGCAGCCGCGGUAAUACGGGGGAGGCAAGCGUUAUCCGGAAUUAUUGGGCGUAAAGCAUCCGCAGGUGGUCAGCCAAGUCUGCCGUCAAAUCAGGUUGCUUAACGACCUAAAGGCGGUGGAAACUGGCAGACUAGAGAGCAGUAGGGGUAGCAGGAAUUCCCAGUGUAGCGGUGAAAUGCGUAGAGAUUGGGAAGAACAUCGGUGGCGAAAGCGUGCUACUGGGCUGUAUCUGACACUCAGGGACGAAAGCUAGGGGAGCGAAAGGGAUUAGAUACCCCUGUAGUCCUAGCCGUAAACGAUGGAUACUAGGCGUGGCUU